UCCCGUCCGUUGUCGCACGUUGCCAAAAAUGGUCAUUUGCGUCGCACGACGCCAGCGGGUUUCCUUGCUGCGGAUGACGCGCUACCAGAGGGAUUCCCUGGCUCCGCCGCCGGGAUUUAAAGGGACAGGCGCACCCUGGGAAGACCCCCUCCAUCCUCCUGGGAGCUGGCUGCAGGGCCAAAUCCAGGCCUCCAAGCCAGAGUAAGUCAUGGGAACAGCAGAUAUCUCCUGUGAAGAAGCCUGCAGUAAUCAUUUCCCCCUAAAUGUGCACUGUCACCUGUGAAGGACAGCUGAGACCUACUGUGGCUGUCCCCGCUGUGGGGCAGGGCAUCCCCUGGGCUGGGGGGCAGCUCCAGAGGUGGGUGGCAGGACUGUGGCCGCUCAGCACUGGCCGUGGUGUGGGGAGCUGCGGGACAGCCCAGGAAAGGACAUGCACCUCUUCUCCCCACAUGAUUCCUCAUCUCCUGUUUUAAAACUCACUCCCAGCUCCCCCAAAUUGGCGCUGGCUUGGUCACUGUUCAUUAAAAAGGACUUCUAUUAUACAAGUGACAGCUCUGUUGCUUCCUGAGACCUUUUCCUUGAGCUCUCUGAAGAAGCAGCGUAUGCAUUUCCAGUGCUCUCCAGUCCUUCCUGACAUCUGUAC
Phalacrocorax carbo (great cormorant) is the source of this 643-nucleotide non-coding RNA. The record is from RefSeq and is a predicted model, not a curated record. NCBI's taxonomy places the organism in Eukaryota, Metazoa, Chordata, Aves, Suliformes, Phalacrocoracidae.